Solanum lycopersicum (tomato) is the source of this 469-nucleotide non-coding RNA. The record is from RefSeq and is a predicted model, not a curated record. Lineage: Eukaryota; Viridiplantae; Streptophyta; Magnoliopsida; Solanales; Solanaceae.
AAAAAAACAUAUCUCCCCCUUUCCUUCUUUAGUUCCCUCUUUCACUCUGCGCUGAUGAAAUUGAAGACUUCAAAGUCAUACAAAUUUGUGUUCAGCAGUUGAAGGAUAACGUGUGCGCAAAAUGCAAGCUAGGUGUUACAAUUUCUCUACUCACUUGCUUGAGGGGAAGUGUUGAAGGAAGCUUGACGACUGAUGGAACACGUCGAAGGAACAAGUCCAUUGAAGCAGGACGACGAGUUAGAGUUAGAUUCAUAUUAGGAUUGGACUACUAAAUCCUAAGUAUUGUACAAUUAAGAAACUGAAUAUUGUAGGAGUUGAUUAGGACAAGGUAUUUCACCUGUAAUAAAUUACUACUCCUGUAAUUAUUUGUAUUGUAGUAGGACUCCUAGUAUAACUAGAAUAGGACUCUUCUCCUAUGUAAGAAGUUUGUAACUCAACAUUAUAAUCAUCAAUACAUCCUUGAUUUAUA